AGAGUUUGAUCAUGGCUCAGAAUCAACGCUGGCGGCGUGCCUAACACAUGCAAGUCGAACGCGAAAGUCCCGCAAGGGAUAAGUAGAGUGGCAAACGGGUGAGUAACACGUGGGUGACCUGCCUUCGAGUGGGGGAUAACGUCCCGAAAGGGACGCUAAUACCGCAUAACAUCCUGCCUUUGAAGAGGUGGAGAUCAAAGCUGGGGAUCGCAAGACCUAGCGCUGGAAGAGGGGCCCGCGUCUGAUUAGCUAGUUGGUGGGGUAAUGGCUCACCAAGGCAACGAUCAGUAUCCGGCCUGAGAGGGCGGACGGACACACUGGGACUGAGACACGGCCCAGACUCCUACGGGAGGCAGCAGUGGGGAAUUGUUCGCAAUGGGCGCAAGCCUGACGACGCAACGCCGCGUGGAGGAUGAAGACCUUCGGGUCGUAAACUCCUUUCGAUCGAGACGAACGGCUCCCGGACGAAUAAUUCGGGAGAGUGACGGUACCGAGAGAAGAAGCCCCGGCUAACUCCGUGCCAGCAGCCGCGGUAAUACGGGGGGGGCAAGCGUUGUUCGGAAUUACUGGGCGUAAAGGGCUCGUAGGCUGCCAACUAAGUCAGACGUGAAAUCCCUCAGCUUAACUGGGGAACUGCGUCUGAUACUGGAUGGCUUGAGAUCGGGAGAGGGAUGCGGAAUUCCAGGUGUAGCGGUGAAAUGCGUAGAUAUCUGGAGGAACACCGGUGGCGAAGGCGGCAUCCUGGACCGACACUGACGCUGAGGAGCGAAAGCCAGGGGAGCAAACGGGAUUAGAUACCCCCGUAGUCC
This 809-nucleotide ribosomal RNA is filed under the name uncultured bacterium. RNAcentral describes it as "bacterial SSU rRNA". It matches the Rfam family "Bacterial small subunit ribosomal RNA", at positions 8 to 796 of the family's 1533-position model. The record is from RNAcentral.